This 762-nucleotide ribosomal RNA is filed under the name Desulfovibrio sp. OH1186_COT-070. RNAcentral describes it as "Bacterial large subunit ribosomal RNA". It matches the Rfam family "Bacterial large subunit ribosomal RNA", at positions 1132 to 1912 of the family's 2925-position model. The record is from Rfam by way of RNAcentral. RNAcentral also lists the same sequence under 1 other name. Lineage: Bacteria; Pseudomonadati; Thermodesulfobacteriota; Desulfovibrionia; Desulfovibrionales; Desulfovibrionaceae.
GCGUAAUAGCUCACUAGUCGAGUGACCCUGCGCCGAAAAUGUACCGGGGCUAAAACAUAUUACCGAAGCUGUGGAUACCUUUUAGGUAUGGUAGGAGAGCGUUCUAUGUGUGAAGAAGGUGUACCGUGAGGAGCGCUGGAACGCAUAGAAGUGAGAAUGCCGGUAUGAGUAGCGAAAGACAGGUGAGAAUCCUGUCCACCGUAAGACUAAGGUUUCCAGGGGAAGGCUCGUCCGCCCUGGGUUAGUCGGGACCUAAGGAGAGACCGAAAGGUGUAUCCGAUGGCCAACAGGUUGAUAUUCCUGUACUAGAGUAUAUAGUGAAGGAGGGACGCAGUAGGCUAACUAAAGCGUGCGAUUGGAAGAGCACGUCUAAGCAGUGAGGUGUGAUAUGAGUCAAAUGCUUAUAUCUAUAACAUUGAGCUGUGAUGGGGAGCGAAGUUAAGUAGCGAAGUUAGUGAUGUCACACUGCCAAGAAAAGCUUCUAGCGUUAAUUAUACUCUACCCGUACCGCAAACCGACACAGGUAGUCGAGGCGAGUAGCCUCAGGUGAGCGAGAGAACUCUCGUUAAGGAACUCGGCAAAAUGGCCCCGUAACUUCGGGAGAAGGGGCGCUGGCUUAGAGUCAGCCGCAGUGAAUAGGCCCAAGCAACUGUUUAUCAAAAACACAGCUCUCUGCUAAAUCGUAAGAUGAUGUAUAGGGGGUGACGCCUGCCCGGUGCUGGAAGGUUAAGAGGAGUGGUUAGCUUCGGCGAAGCUACGAAU